Molecule: ribosomal RNA, 440 nt
Filed under: uncultured bacterium
Lineage: Bacteria
Description: partial 16S ribosomal RNA
Rfam family: Bacterial small subunit ribosomal RNA
Source: RNAcentral
CCUACGGGAGGCAGCAGUGGGGAAUAUUGCACAAUGGGGGAAACCCUGAUGCAGCGACGCCGCGUGAGUGAAGAAGUAUUUCGGUACGUACAGCUCUAUCAGCAGGGAAGAAAAUGACGGUACCUGACUAAGAAGCCCCGGCUAACUACGUGCCAGCAGCCGCGGUAAUACGUAGGGGGCAAGCGUUAUCCGGAUUUACUGGGUGUAAAGGGAGCGUAGACGGCAGCGCAAGUCUGGAGUGAAAUCCCAUGGCUUAACCAUGGAACUGCUUUGGAAACUGUGCAGCUAGAGUGCAGGAGAGGUAAGCGGAAGUCCGAGUGUAGCGGUGAAAUGCGUAGAUAUUAGGAGGAACACCAGUGGCGAAGGCGGCUUACUGGACUGUAACUGACGUUGAGGCUCGAAAGCGUGGGGAGCAAACAGGAUUAGAUACCCUUGUAGUC